Molecule: non-coding RNA, 656 nt
Organism: Carica papaya (papaya)
Lineage: Eukaryota; Viridiplantae; Streptophyta; Magnoliopsida; Brassicales; Caricaceae
Source: RefSeq, a predicted model, not a curated record
UAUUGAUGCUAAAACUCCAAGUUCCUUUUCCUCAAUGAUUGCUAUUGUACUCUAGGUUGCUGCCAUUGCAGUCAUGUGUGUGCAGCCGGAAGCAGAUUAUCGCCCACUAAUGACAGAUGUCGUUCAGUCCCUAAUCCCUCUUGUUAAGAACAAUAGCUGCAUUACUUCCUCCGGUUCCUCCAGAUUUCAGCCUCCAGCAACGAGUCCCAGAUAUUAGGUUCACCUUUGGUAUACUGCAGCAAGAUGAUAAUAUGCGGUGCUAGUUCUUCGUCAAAGUGGAACAAGCCAAGAAGAUCAUUCUGCAAAAAUUUCACUGUAAACAAUAAGAAGUAUAUUCACCAAUUUGCUGCCUGGAGUUUUUUUUUGGUUUUUCUCUUGAAAUCCCUGCAUGGUUUCGAGAAGCCUUCAUUUGAGCAUAGAAAGUGACACUGGUAGUGAAUGCGCCACCAGUUAGGACGACUGGAAAAAGCCAUUUUAAAGGUGGAAACAGUGAUAGGAGCAAUGAAUGUAUAGGGACAAGCAUCUUCCAGGACUGCAAAAGAAGGUAAUUUCUUGUAAUGUUAGUAAACAAGAUUAUAGAUAUGUUGUAAAGAGGUUAACUGAUUCCAUUUUGUAAUAUUACACCAUUUUGAAAAUCUAGAAACUAUUUUCAGACU